UGGGGAAUAUUGGGCAAUGGGCGCAAGCCUGACCCAGCAACGCCGCGUGAGGGAAGAAGGCCUUCGGGUUGUAAACCUCUGUCCUUGGGGACGAAAAAAAUGACGGUACCCAAGGAGGAAGCUCCGGCUAACUACGUGCCAGCAGCCGCGGUAAUACGUAGGGAGCGAGCGUUGUCCGGAAUUACUGGGCGUAAAGGGUGCGUAGGUGGCUUGGCAAGUCAGAUGUGAAAUCCCCGGGCUUAACUCGGGUGCUGCAUUUGAAACUGCUGAGCUUGAGUGCAGGAGAGGAAAGCGGAAUUCCUAGUGUAGCGGUGAAAUGCGUAGAUAUUAGGAGGAACACCAGUGGCGAAGGCGGCUUUCUGGACUGUUACUGACACUGAGGCACGAAAGCGUGGGGAGCAAACA
This 405-nucleotide ribosomal RNA is filed under the name uncultured prokaryote. RNAcentral's name for it is "bacterial SSU rRNA". It matches the Rfam family "Bacterial small subunit ribosomal RNA", at positions 355 to 774 of the family's 1533-position model. The record is from RNAcentral.